Molecule: ribosomal RNA, 1347 nt
Filed under: uncultured bacterium
Lineage: Bacteria
Description: bacterial SSU rRNA
Rfam family: Bacterial small subunit ribosomal RNA
Source: RNAcentral
GACGAACGCUGGCGGCGUGCUUAACACAUGCAAGUCGAACGAUGAAGCCUAGCUUGCUAGGUGGAUUAGUGGCGAACGGGUGAGUAAUACGUGAGUAACCUACCUUUAACUCUGGGAUAAGCCUGGGAAACUGGGUCUAAUACCGGAUACGACCAAUCUCCGCAUGGGGUGUUGGUGGAAAGCGUUAUGUAGUGGUUAUAGAUGGGCUCACGGCCUAUCAGCUUGUUGGUGAGGUAACGGCUCACCAAGGCGACGACGGGUAGCCGGCCUGAGAGGGUGACCGGCCACACUGGGACUGAGACACGGCCCAGACUCCUACGGGAGGCAGCAGUGGGGAAUAUUGCACAAUGGGCGCAAGCCUGAUGCAGCGACGCCGCGUGAGGGAUGACGGCCUUCGGGUUGUAAACCUCUGUUAGCAGGGAAGAAGAGAGAUUGACGGUACCUGCAGAGAAAGCGCCGGCUAACUACGUGCCAGCAGCCGCGGUAAUACGUAGGGCGCGAGCGUUGUCCGGAAUUAUUGGGCGUAAAGAGCUUGUAGGCGGUUUGUCGCGUCUGCUGUGAAGGCCGGAGCUUAACUCCGUGUAUUGCAGUGGGUACGGGCAGACUAGAGUGCAGUAGGGGAGACUGGAAUUCCUGGUGUAGCGGUGGAAUGCGCAGAUAUCAGGAGGAACACCGAUGGCGAAGGCAGGUCUCUGGGCUGUAACUGACGCUGAGAAGCGAAAGCAUGGGGAGCGAACAGGAUUAGAUACCCUGGUAGUCCAUGCCGUAAACGUUGGGCACUAGGUGUGGGGGACAUUCCACGUUUUCCGCGCCGUAGCUAACGCAUUAAGUGCCCCGCCUGGGGAGUACGGCCGCAAGGCUAAAACUCAAAGAAAUUGACGGGGGCCCGCACAAGCGGCGGAGCAUGCGGAUUAAUUCGAUGCAACGCGAAGAACCUUACCAAGGCUUGACAUAUACUGGACCGCAUCAGAGAUGGUGUUUCCCUUCGGGGCUGGUAUACAGGUGGUGCAUGGUUGUCGUCAGCUCGUGUCGUGUGAUGUUGGGUUAAGUCCCGCAACGAGCGCAACCCUCGUUCUAUGUUGCCAGCACGUUAUGGUGGGGACUCAUAGGAGACUGCCGGGGUCAACUCGGAGGAAGGUGGGGAUGACGUCAAAUCAUCAUGCCCCUUAUGUCUUGGGCUUCACGCAUGCUACAAUGGCCGGUACAGAGGGUUGCGAUACUGUGAGGUGGAGCUAAUCCCUAAAAGCCGGUCUCAGUUCGGAUUGGGGUCUGCAACUCGACCCCAUGAAGUCGGAGUCGCUAGUAAUCGCAGAUCAGCAACGCUGCGGUGAAUACGUUCCCGGGCCC